AUUGAACGCUGGCGGCAGGCCUAACACAUGCAAGUCGAACGGUAACAGGAAGCAGCUUGCUGCUUCGCUGACGAGUGGCGGACGGGUGAGUAAUGUCUGGGAAACUGCCUGAUGGAGGGGGAUAACUACUGGAAACGGUAGCUAAUACCGCAUAACGUCGCAAGACCAAAGAGGGGGACCUUAGGGCCUCUUGCCAUCGGAUGUGCCCAGAUGGGAUUAGCUAGUAGGUGGGGUAACGGCUCACCUAGGCGACGAUCCCUAGCUGGUCUGAGAGGAUGACCAGCCACACUGGAACUGAGACACGGUCCAGACUCCUACGGGAGGCAGCAGUGGGGAAUAGUGCACAAUGGGCGCAAGCCUGAUGCAGCCAUGCCGCGUGUAUGAAGAAGGCCUUCGGGUUGUAAAGUACUUUCAGCGGGGAGGAAGGGAGUAAAGUUAAUACCUUUGCUCAUUGACGUUACCCGCAGAAGAAGCACCGGCUAACUCCGUG
RNAcentral lists this ribosomal RNA (490 nucleotides) under uncultured bacterium. RNAcentral's name for it is "partial 16S ribosomal RNA". It matches the Rfam family "Bacterial small subunit ribosomal RNA", at positions 30 to 507 of the family's 1533-position model. The record is from RNAcentral.